CCUACGGGCGGCAGCAGUGGGGAAUAUUGCACAAUGGGGGACACCCUGAUGCAGCAACGCCGCGUGAGUGAAGAAGGUUUUCGGAUUGUACAGCUCUGUUCGCAGGUCAGAGGAAGGACGGUACCUGCAGAGGAAGCCACGGCUAACUACGUGCCAGCAGCCGCGGUAAUACGUAGGUGGCAAGCGUUGUUCGGAAUAACUGGGCGUAAAGGAUGCAUAGGCGGGUAAACAAGUUAUAUGGUAAAUAUGUAGGCUUAACCUAGAGAAAGCAUAUAAAACUGUUUAACUAGAGUGCAGGAGAGGUAAGGGGAAUUCCUAGGGUAGCGGUGAAAUGCGUAGAGAUUAGGAAGAACACCAGUGGCGAAGGCGACUUACUGGACUGUAACUGACGCUGAGGCAUGAGAGCAUGGGGAGCAAACAGGAUUAGAUACCCGUGUAGUC
Molecule: ribosomal RNA, 441 nt
Filed under: uncultured bacterium
Lineage: Bacteria
Description: partial 16S ribosomal RNA
Rfam family: Bacterial small subunit ribosomal RNA
Source: RNAcentral